AUAAAUCAGAAAAAAGGCGAAAAUUUUUAAAAUAAAUGCUAUAGAAAUACAAAUUGAAUUUAAAAUAAAACAAAGUGCAACGUGCAAUGAAAUUCAUUGACCCCACGAGUGAAAAUAGUGAAAAGAGCAGAAAGCAGCACUUUCAAAUUAAAUAUGCAAAUUUGCGCGUAUCACAAUGUACGGCGAGUACAUACUAACUAAGUUAAAUGUAUAAAUAUUUAAGUAUAUACAUAUAUUAUUCAGAUGCACGGACUGAAAGCUAUUUAUAUGCCUAUACAAAAUGUAUAUAAGUAUCACUGUACAUAGCUCUCCUAUGGCGGCGUAUGGGGGUAUUGAAAAUAUUCUGGAAGAAAUGCAACCGGCAGGCAGCGUACGUUUCACAGUCGACUUGAAUGUAAACAUGAAAAGUCGGAAAAACGAAAAAUCAUAUUCUAAAUAUACACAACGAUGCUCACAAGAGAGAGAGAGAGAGAAUGAGGCGAACCAGAGCAAGAAAUUCGGUAGAAAAUAAUGAACAGAGAGGGAAAGCCAUGCAUUUGGUUAGACUUGGUGUGAUUUUUAAAUGCUUUUUAAAUUCUAUAGGUAAAAGAAUAUGUGGAAAAUUUUGUUGAUGAACAAAAAAAUACACUUUUGGGAU
Molecule: long non-coding RNA, 637 nt
Filed under: Drosophila guanche
Lineage: Eukaryota; Metazoa; Arthropoda; Insecta; Diptera; Drosophilidae
Source: RNAcentral